UAGGGAAUAUUGGUCAAUGGGCGAAAGCCUGACCCAGCAACGCCGCGUGAAGGAUGAAGUAUUUCGGUAUGUAAACUUCGAAAGAAUAGGAAGAAUAAAUGACGGUACUAUUUAUAAGGUCCGGCUAACUACGUGCCAGCAGCCGCGGUAAUACGUAGGGACCAAGCGUUGUUCGGAUUUACUGGGCGUAAAGGGCGCGUAGGCGGCAAUUCAAGUCAUCUGUGAAAUCUCCGGGCUUAACUCGGAACGGUCAGAUGAUACUGCUUUGCUAGAGUGCAGAAGGGGCAAUCGGAAUUCUUGGUGUAGCGGUGAAAUGCGUAGAUAUCAAGAGGAACACCUGAGGUGAAGACGGGUUGCUGGGCUGACACUGACGCUGAGGCGCGAAAGCCAGGGGAGCAAACGGGAUUAGAUACCCACGUAGUCCCUGAGCGGGCUGGCAAGGCGCAU
RNAcentral lists this ribosomal RNA (447 nucleotides) under uncultured bacterium. RNAcentral describes it as "bacterial SSU rRNA". It matches the Rfam family "Bacterial small subunit ribosomal RNA", at positions 355 to 825 of the family's 1533-position model. The record is from RNAcentral.